Long non-coding RNA from Trichomycterus rosablanca, 197 nucleotides. RefSeq lists it as uncharacterized. The record is from RefSeq and is a predicted model, not a curated record. NCBI's taxonomy places the organism in Eukaryota, Metazoa, Chordata, Actinopteri, Siluriformes, Trichomycteridae. The transcript has 2 exons.
ACAAACAAGAGUUUCAAUGCUAGGCUUUUUGGAUGGACCAACAUACAAAAAAUGGAGAGCAAUGCAUAAGUCUGCAAAGAAUUCGCCAAGACGUCGUCGGCUUCGUUCGGGGUUCCCGAAUUGUUUUCUGUUCAUUGGCGUUUGUACUUUGUUUAUUUCUGUUUAUUAAUUUGUAAAUAAAAAUCACUUUUAAGUUA